AUCCCAGAUAAGCUUGCUUUGGUUCUUAUCUGAUUCAUGGGAGGCAAAGAUUAAAGUUUUGGGAGUUUCGCUGAUAACGCCGCUUAUAUUUUUUCAAAGACGGCGUUUAAUAGUAGCUUCACCAUACAUUC
This is a small nucleolar RNA of Salvia splendens (bonfire salvia), 131 nucleotides long. NCBI's taxonomy places the organism in Eukaryota, Viridiplantae, Streptophyta, Magnoliopsida, Lamiales, Lamiaceae. The record is from RefSeq and is a predicted model, not a curated record.